Molecule: ribosomal RNA, 496 nt
Filed under: uncultured bacterium
Lineage: Bacteria
Description: partial 16S ribosomal RNA
Rfam family: Bacterial small subunit ribosomal RNA
Source: RNAcentral
AUGAACGCUGGCGGCGUGCCUAAUACAUGCAAGUCGAGCGAACAGACGAGGAGCUUGCUCCUCUGACGUUAGCGGCGGACGGGUGAGUAACACGUGGAUAACCUACCUAUAAGACUGGGAUAACUUCGGGAAACCGGAGCUAAUACCGGAUAAUAUAUUGAACCGCAUGGUUCAAUAGUGAAAGACGGUUUUGCUGUCACUUAUAGAUGGAUCCGCGCCGCAUUAGCUAGUUGGUAAGGUAACGGCUUACCAUGGCAACGAUGCGUAGCCGACCUGAGAGGGUGAUCGGCCACACUGGAACUGAGACACGGUCCAGACUCCUACGGGAGGCAGCAGUAGGGAAUCUUCCGCAAUGGGCGAAAGCCUGACGGAGCAACGCCGCGUGAGUGAUGAAGGUCUUCGGAUCGUAAAACUCUGUUAUUAGGGAAGAACAAAUGUGUAAGUAACUAUGCACGUCUUGACGGUACCUAAUCAGAAAGCCACGGCUAACUACGUG